GACGAACGCUGGCGGCGUGCUUAACACAUGCAAGUCGAACGGAAAGGCCCUGCUUUUGUGGGGUGCUCGAGUGGCGAACGGGUGUGUAACACGUGAGUAACCUGCCCUUGACUUUGGGAUAACUUCAGGAAACUGGGGCUAAUACCGGAUAGGAGCUCCUGCUGCAUGGUGGGGGUUGGAAAGUUGGGGGGGUUGGAGAGGGGCUCGCGGCUUAUCAGCUUGUUGGUGGGGUAGUGGCUUACCAAGGCUUGGAGGGGUAGCCUGCCUGAGAGGGGGACCGGCCACAGUGGGAAGGAGAGACGGCCGAGACUCCUACGGGAGGCAGGAGUGGAGAAUAUUGCACAAUGGGCGGAAGCGUGAUGCAGCAACGCGGCGUGCGGAAUGACGGCCUUCGGGUUGUAAAGCGGUUUGGCCUGUGACGAAGGGUGAGUGACGGUAAUGGGUAAAGAAGCACCGGCUAACUACG
Molecule: ribosomal RNA, 466 nt
Filed under: uncultured bacterium
Lineage: Bacteria
Description: partial 16S ribosomal RNA
Rfam family: Bacterial small subunit ribosomal RNA
Source: RNAcentral